RNAcentral lists this transfer RNA (52 nucleotides) under Leipothrix sp. 1 XFX-2017. RNAcentral's name for it is "tRNA-Asn". Lineage: Eukaryota; Metazoa; Arthropoda; Arachnida; Trombidiformes; Eriophyidae. The record is from RNAcentral.
UUGAGCUAAGCUGAACAGCUUUUCAUUGUUACUGAAAAUUAAAAAACUCAAG